UGAGGAAUAUUGGACAAUGGAUGGAAAUCUGAUCCAGCCAUGCCGCGUGCAGGAAGACGGCCCUAUGGGUUGUAAACUGCUUUUGUAUGGGAGCAAUAAGGACUACGUGUAGUUUGAUGAGAGUACCAUACGAAUAAGCAUCGGCUAACUCCGUGCCAGCAGCCGCGGUAAUACGGAGGAUGCGAGCGUUAUCCGGAUUUAUUGGGUUUAAAGGGUGCGUAGGCGGCGAUAUAAGUCAGUGGUGAAAUAUUUCGGCUUAACCGAGAGACUGCCAUUGAUACUGUGUUGCUAGAGUAUGGUUGCUGUGAGUGGAAUGUGUGGUGUAGCGGUGAAAUGCUUAGAUAUCACACAGAAUAUCGAUUGCGAAGGCAGCUCACAAAGCCAUUAUUGACGCUGAGGCACGAAAGUGUGGGGAUCAAACA
RNAcentral lists this ribosomal RNA (422 nucleotides) under uncultured bacterium. Its description in RNAcentral is "bacterial SSU rRNA". It matches the Rfam family "Bacterial small subunit ribosomal RNA", at positions 355 to 774 of the family's 1533-position model. The record is from RNAcentral.